CACACUCGGUAUUACUUACCACAGGCAUUGCAAUGGCUGCAUGGAAACGCAAAGGCUGGCCUGUUUACGUAUGGACAUUUGAUGCUGCAGAGAUGCCUGUGCCAAACUUAGAGAGACCAACAGAUACUACAGCAAAUGCAAGCAGUUUGAUCAACGUGGUUGACGUGGUCUGAGGCACUUCAGUGAAGAGUGGUCCUGCAGCCUGCACUGCACUAGCAGCGUAGUACUGAGCUGAACUAAACUGAACACUACUGGACCCCAGAUGAAUUUUCGAAAACAGAACACUUGCAAAGCGCUCCUUCACCCACCAUUUGGAAAAUCGGGCCACUCCUCCCUCUUGCUGCUGCCGAGGUACCGGCAGCAGCUGAAACAAGAGGCAGCCACAAUUUAAAAUUCCACUGCUGAUCCAACCAAUCGGUCUUUGAUGACAUCAACUGGAGUGUCUUCCACGAUGAGGAUGUCUCGAGUUCACAGAUGGGGUCACGAGUUUCAUCUGGAAGUGCAUCAAGGAUGUUGUCCCGCAGAAAUCGGUCAGGGUCUAUCCAAACCAGAAACCCUGGACCAACAGUUCCGUGCGAGCAGCACUUACUGCGCAACACAGAGCUUACAUUGCCAGUGACCAGCAGGAGCUCAAGAAAUGCAGCUACGAUCUGUGCAAAGCCAUCAAGGCAACAAUACAGGGACAAGAUUCAGACACAACUCUACACCAACAACACACAUCGCUUAUGGCAAGGUCUGCACACCAUCACAGACUUCAAAGCUAAAAGCAAUGGAGUCUCCAACAUCGCUGCUUCUCUCCCAGAUGAGCUAAAUCUUUUUACACUCAAUUCAAUUUUGCCAAUACUGAGCUCCUGAAAAGACGGUUAUCUCUGAGGCCGAAGUACGCAGGUGUUUCCAAUGAGUGGACAGUCACAAGGCUGCAGGUCCAGACGGCAUCCCAGGGUGAGUACUCAGGAUGUGCACAGCACAACUGGCAGGUAUGUUUAUAGAGCUUUUUAAUCUCUCCCUCUCCCAGUGUAGUGUGCCCUCUUGUUUCAAAUCAUCCACCUUUGUUCCUGUACUCAAAAAGACCAAGAUAGUAUGUCUGUAUAACUUGUGUCCUGUUGCAUUCACCUCAAUAAUGAGCAAAUGCUUUGUGAGGCUGGACAAGGACUACGUCUGCAGUGUGCUACCAUGCACACUGGACCACCUGUAAUUUGCCUACUGACACAACAGAUCGACAGAUGACGCAAUAGCCACAGCUCUACACACUGUCCUUACACAUCUGGAGAAGGUGGAUGCUUAUGUGAGAAUGCUGUUCUUGGACUACAGUUCAGCAUUCAACACCAUAAUUCCCUCCAGGCUCAACAAGAAGCUCAGAGACCUCGGCCUUCACCCUGCCCUGAAUAGCUGGAUCCUGGACUUCCUGUCAGAUCACCGGCAGGUGUAAGAGUGGGCUCCCUCACCCAUGCCCCUCUGACCCUCAACACAGGUGCCCCUCGGGGCUGUGUCCUAAACCCCCUCCUUUAUUCUCUGUAUACCCAUGACUGUGUCGCCACCCACAGCUCCAAUCUGCUAAUUAAAUUUGCUGAUGACAUUAUACUAAUUGGCCUAAUCUCAAAUAAUGAGGCUGCCUACAGAGAGGAAAUCAUCACCCUGACACAGUGGUGUCAAGAAAACAACCUCUCCCUCAAUGUCACAAAAACAAAGGGGCUGGUUGUGGAUUACAGGAGGAAUGGAGACAGACUAACCCCUAUUGACAUUAACGGAUCUGAGGUUGAGAGGGUGAACAGCUUUAAGUUCCUCAGCAUAAAUGUCACCGAGGACCUCAGGUGGUCUGUACACACUGGCUGUGUGGUGAAAAAGGCACAACGGCACCUCUUUCAUCUCAGAAAAGUUGAAGAAGUUUUGUAUGGACCCCAAAUUCUAAAAACUUUCUACAGGGACACAACUGAGAGCAUUCUGACUGGCUGCAUCACUGCCUGGUAUGGGAACUGUACUUCCCUCAAUCACAGGACUCUGCAGAGAGCAGUGCGGACAGCCCAGCGCAUCUGUAGAUGUGAACUUCCCACUAAUCCGGACAUUUACAAACACAAGUGUGUAAAAAGAGCCCCAAAGGAUUAUUGGGGACCCGAGUCACCCCAACCACAAACUCGUCCAAAUGCUACCAUCCGGGAAAUGGUACGGCAGCAUAAAAGCCAAGACCAACAGGCUCCAGGACAGCUUCUUCCACCAGGCCGUCAGACUGAUUAAUUCACACUGACACAACUGUAUUUCUUUGUUAUAUUGACUGUCCGGUUGUACAUACGAUUUAUUAUAGAUUACUAUAAAUUGCAUAUUGCACAUUGCACAUUUCGACAGAGAGGUAACAAAGUUAUUACUCCCUGUGUAUAUGAAGGAUGUAAGUAAUAAAAAGUCAGUUCAAUUCAGAGCUGUAUUCUGUAUACAUACUUUGAUAAUUAAUGUACUUUGAAUCUUUGAAACAAGCUAUUCAUCCCACCAAAUCCACACAGACUAGAAUGUAACCCUUGGUAUUGAUCACAUGUUUCAGCACUUUCAAAUACCAAUUCAGAUUCAGUAGACAAUAGACAGCAGGUGCAGGAGUAGGCCAUUCGGCCCUUCUAACCAGCAUCGCCAUUCACUGUGAUCGUGGCUGAUCAUACACAAUCAGUACUCCAUUCCUGCCCUCUCCCCAUAUUCCUUGACCCCAUUAUCUAUAAGAGCUCUAUCUAACUCUCUCUUGAAUGCAUCCAGAGACUUGGCCUCCACUGCCU
This is a long non-coding RNA of Hypanus sabinus (Atlantic stingray), 2753 nucleotides long. RefSeq lists it as uncharacterized. Lineage: Eukaryota; Metazoa; Chordata; Chondrichthyes; Myliobatiformes; Dasyatidae. The record is from RefSeq and is a predicted model, not a curated record. The transcript has 3 exons.